RNAcentral lists this ribosomal RNA (342 nucleotides) under Necturus lewisi (Neuse river waterdog). RNAcentral's name for it is "partial 12S ribosomal RNA". It matches the Rfam family "Bacterial small subunit ribosomal RNA", at positions 869 to 1384 of the family's 1533-position model. The record is from RNAcentral. Lineage: Eukaryota; Metazoa; Chordata; Amphibia; Caudata; Proteidae.
UCGCCCGAGUACUACGAGCAACAGCUUAAAACUCAAAGGACUUGGCGGUGCUUUAUAUCCACCUAGAGGAGCCUGUUCUAUAAUCGAUACUCCACGAUAAACCUCACCAUCUUUUGCUAACAGCCUAUAUACCACCGUCCUAGCUCACCCUUCAAAGGAAAAAUAGUGAGCAAAAUAAUAAACAUUAAAAAGACAGGUCAAGGUGUAGCCUAUAAGAUGGGAAGAAAUGGGCUACAUUUUUUUACCAAAAAAUACAAAUGAAAGAAUGAAAAAUAUUCUGAAGGCGGAUUUAGCAGUAAAAAGAAAUUAUUAUGUUCUUUUUAAUUAGGCAAUAAAGCGCGC